RNAcentral lists this ribosomal RNA (478 nucleotides) under uncultured bacterium. RNAcentral describes it as "partial 16S ribosomal RNA". It matches the Rfam family "Bacterial small subunit ribosomal RNA", at positions 28 to 523 of the family's 1533-position model. The record is from RNAcentral.
GACGAACGCUGGCGGCGUGCUUAACACAUGCAAGUCGAGCGAUGAAGCUCCUUCGGGAGUGGAUUAGCGGCGGACGGGUGAGUAACACGUGGGUAACCUGCCUCAUAGAGGGGAAUAGCCUUUCGAAAGGAAGAUUAAUACCGCAUAAGAUUGUAGCUUCGCAUGGAGCAGCAAUUAAAGGAGUAAUCCGCUAUGAGAUGGACCCGCGUCGCAUUAGCUAGUUGGUGAGGUAACGGCUCACCAAGGCGACGAUGCGUAGCCGACCUGAGAGGGUGAUCGGCCACAUUGGGACUGAGACACGGCCCAGACUCCUACGGGAGGCAGCAGUGGGGAAUAUUGCACAAUGGGGGAAACCCUGAUGCAGCAACGCCGCGUGAGUGAUGACGGUCUUCGGAUUGUAAAGCUCUGUCUUCAGGGACGAUAAUGACGGUACCUGAGGAGGAAGCCACGGCUAACUACGUGCCAGCCGCCGCGGUAA